CCUGGCCCCCAGAAUCCAGCCUGCACCUUCUGGGGUGCGCCGCAGGGCCUUUGCAGCCUCGGGCCAGGUCCUACCUCUCUUCUUGGCGCUCAUGGUGUUUCAGCCUUUCUCAGGUCUCCAACAAGCUCAAGUCACUCCCAUGUAAAAAAUGAAAAUCCUGAAAACUGUCCAAAUGCCCAUCAAUGAAUAAUGGAAUUACUACACAGCAAAAAGAAUGAAAAAUAUACAACUACAUGCAACAAUACGGAUGAAUCUAACAGACAUAAUGUUGAGCGAAAGCAGCAAGGCACAAAAGAGGACAUAGGUAUCAUUCCCUAGAUAAUAAACUUCAAAAGCAAAACUAA
This is a non-coding RNA of Microcebus murinus (gray mouse lemur), 344 nucleotides long. The record is from RefSeq and is a predicted model, not a curated record. NCBI's taxonomy places the organism in Eukaryota, Metazoa, Chordata, Mammalia, Primates, Cheirogaleidae.